GCGACGAGUAUUUUUGUAUGCAAUGUGCCCUUAACGUGUCUAAAACUUAUCUGUAGCGUUUUCAACGCUCGUGUAGCGUGUAUAUUAUGUGCGUGCAGUUUACAGGUACAUGUAUAUACGUUUGACAAACGCUUGAGCUGAAUGAUUUUUUUUAUGUUCCAUUAAAAUUUUCCUGAAGUAAAAGCGUUCACCAAGCGUAUACCUUUGCAUUUCGACGUACUUCAAACUUAUGGAACGCGUGUUUAAACGCUUGCGUAAAGUUCCUCUGGUGAGCAACUAAGUUACGCAUACGAUGAUACGGACUUUGUUAAUUUUCUUUUUUGACUGAUUGUUUUACAUUGUCAUUUCGGGGCCUUUUAUAGCCGACUAUGCGGUACGUGCUUUGCCUGUUGUUGAAGGCCGUACGGUGACCCAUAGUUUGUAUUUCUGUGUUAUUUUGGUUUCUUGCAGAUAGUUGUCUCAUUGACACCAAACCCGAUAUCUUCUUUUUUUAUAUUCGAUAUCUUAUCGCCGACCUGGUUAAGUCUGCUAAAAAUGCAUGCAUGAUUCAUUUUUAGGUUAUCAGUCGUAAUUAAAGUGGCACAUUUAAUUCGUUGUUUCAUUGCUUGAAGUAUCAUUUCUUACAUCUGCAUGGUCAAAUGUGUAUUUUUUUUAAAAUAAAUUUUAGAUUUAGAUUUCAGUCACGGUUAUUUUUUCCCCCUUCAUAUUGAAUAUCUAUACUUAUCAGUCGCAUUUUAAUGACGAAAAGGAUUCAGAGGUUAUUAAAAAAAAGUAAAUAAUGUUGCAAUAUUUAAACAAAGAAAAUAACUUUAAAUUUGCAAUAUUAAUGAAAAUAAAUACGGACAUAACUUUCAUAAUUAAUUUUAACGUUAUUUUCAAUAAACGAUUUUUUUU
This 894-nucleotide long non-coding RNA is filed under the name Mytilus galloprovincialis (Mediterranean mussel). Lineage: Eukaryota; Metazoa; Mollusca; Bivalvia; Mytilida; Mytilidae. The record is from RNAcentral.